Long non-coding RNA from Triticum dicoccoides, 285 nucleotides. RefSeq lists it as uncharacterized. The record is from RefSeq and is a predicted model, not a curated record. NCBI's taxonomy places the organism in Eukaryota, Viridiplantae, Streptophyta, Magnoliopsida, Poales, Poaceae. The transcript has 3 exons.
AGGCCAGCCGAAGUGCACGUGCAUGCCAUUGUUGGUUGAGAGAUCAUUUAAUGGAUAAAGAAACUGGAUUUACGGAUCUGUUUUUGGACACGAGUUGGGAUGGUAGCGAUAGUGUUGAUCGUACGAAUGGUAAUGAUAGUAAAGAUGAUGAUGAUGGCAGCGACAAUGAAUCCUGGUCGUCGUACGAUAAUUUACCUGAAGAGGAUUUUGAAAAGAAGGAGGAGGGUGCUUGUAGUGAAAACGAGGAUAUUGACGUUCAGAACGAGGAAAAUCAUGGUGUUGAAU